GAACGCUGGCGGCAGGCCUAACACAUGCAAGUCGAGCGGGUAACAUUUCUAGCUUGCUAGAAGAUGACGAGCGGCGGACGGGUGAGUAACGCGUAGAAAUCUACCUAGUAGUGGGGGAUAGCCCAGAGAAAUUUGGAUUAAUACCGCAUACGCCCUACGGGGGAAAGCGGGGGAUCUUCGGACCUCGCGCUAUUGGAUGAGCCUAAGUCGGAUUAGCUUGUUGGUGAGGUAAAGGCUCACCAAGGCGACGAUCCGUAGCUGGUCUGAGAGGACGAUCAGCCACACUGGGACUGAGACACGGCCCAGACUCCUACGGGAGGCAGCAGUGGGGAAUAUUGCACAAUGGGCGCAAGCCUGAUGCAGCCAUGCCGCGUGUGUGAAGAAGGCCUUAGGGUUGUAAAGCACUUUCAGCAGUGAGGAAAGGGGUGUCGUUAAUAGCGCCAUCCUGUGACGUUAACUGCAGAAGAAGGACCGGCUAACUCCGUG
RNAcentral lists this ribosomal RNA (486 nucleotides) under uncultured bacterium. Its description in RNAcentral is "bacterial SSU rRNA". It matches the Rfam family "Bacterial small subunit ribosomal RNA", at positions 31 to 507 of the family's 1533-position model. The record is from RNAcentral.